GAUGAAGAACGCAGCGAAAUGCGAUACUUGGUGUGAAUUGCAGAAUCCCGUGAACCAUCGAGUCUUUGAACGCAAGUUGCGCCCGAAGCCAUUAGGCCGAGGGCACGCCUGCCUGGGCGUCACACGUCGUUGCCCCCCCAUCUACUCCUUCGGGAUUGCGGGGGGCGGAUGAUGGCCUCCCGUGCGCCUCGUCGCGCGGUUGGCAUAAAUGCCAAGUCCUCGGCGACACACGCCACGACAAUCGGUGGUUGCGAAACCUCGGUUGCCCGUCGUGUGCGGUCGUCGCGCAUCGAGGGCUCGAAAAAAUUGCCGGGCUCCGGCUCGGCUUUCAACGCGACCCCAGGUCAGGCGGGGUUACCCGCUGAGUUUAAGCAUAUCAAUAAGCGGAGGA
RNAcentral lists this unclassified non-coding RNA (391 nucleotides) under soil metagenome. RNAcentral describes it as "partial contains 5.8S ribosomal RNA, internal transcribed spacer 2, and large subunit ribosomal RNA". The stretch from base 1 to 122 matches the Rfam family "5.8S ribosomal RNA", at positions 35 to 154 of the family's 154-position model. The record is from RNAcentral.